RNAcentral lists this ribosomal RNA (379 nucleotides) under uncultured bacterium. RNAcentral describes it as "bacterial SSU rRNA". It matches the Rfam family "Bacterial small subunit ribosomal RNA", at positions 30 to 407 of the family's 1533-position model. The record is from RNAcentral.
AUUGAACGCUGGCGGCAUGCCUUACACAUGCAAGUCGAACGGCAGCGGACCUUCGGGUGCCGGCGAGUGGCGAACGGGGUGAGUAAUAUAUCGGGAACGUACCUUUCAGUGGGGGAUAACGUAGCGAAAGUUACGCUAAUACCGCAUAUUCUGUGAGCAGGAAAGCAGGGGAUCGCAAGACCUUGCGCUGAUUGAGCGGCCGAUAUCAGAUUUAGCUAGUUGGUGAGGUAAAGGCUCACCAAGGCGACGGAUCUGUAGCGGGUCUGAGAGGAUGAUCCGCCACACUGGAACUGAGACACGGUCCAGACUCCUACGGGAGGCAGCAGUGGGGAAUUUUGGACAAUGGGCGCAAGCCUGAUCCAGCCAUGCCGCGUGAGUG